This 1246-nucleotide long non-coding RNA is filed under the name Monodelphis domestica (gray short-tailed opossum). RNAcentral's name for it is "lncRNA (ENSMODG00000036481.1)". Lineage: Eukaryota; Metazoa; Chordata; Mammalia; Didelphimorphia; Didelphidae. The record is from RNAcentral.
CUCCCCUGCAAUCCCCUCCAGAGUCUCCAGUGUAUCUUUUAAAUAUUUUCAUUGGUAGAUGUUCUUUGCCUUUUGAGAAAUGCAUUUGAUUUUUAUAAAUAGUCAAAUUCAAUUUGAGCCAGUGAUCAUUUGUAUAAUAUUAUUUAAAAAAAAAGAGAAACCAGGAGUGACUAUCAAGUAAUCUGACUGGUUUUUCUUGUUCUGUUCAUCAACUGGCUUCAUAGGCAAUUUCAAAUGAAGUAUCCAAGACUCAUUUUGUUAGCAGCAUCAUUAGGAUAAAAGCAUCUUCUACAAAGCUGACUUUGAAAAAACUUCUUAUUUGUCUGUACCUAUACUGCUAUGAGGAGCCUUUACCAUGUGGGUGCUGAAGCUGUUUCUACACCCAAGCUCAGAGCUUGGUUUUCCAUCUUAGAGAGAGUCCACAGCAUUGUAGAACAAGCCAUCAUGCACAGAAUGGUAGUGAGUACUCUUUUCCCAGAAUUCCAUAGAAUUCUUUGGGGAGUAUUUAUCUUUAAUAAUGGUAACAUUGAUAUUGAUAAUGAUGAUGGUAGUAGUGAUAAUGUUGGUAAAUGAUAAUGAUGGUAAAUGAGAGUUGAUAAUAAUGAUGGCAGUGAUGAUCAUGAUAAAACACAAUCUUUUAUGUCUUCUCUUGCAUCCUAAGUUUCUUCAUCCUACCUUUGAUUUGAAAUCUCUUUACCAAACUGGUUAUUGCUUUUUGGAUACAAACCGCUUUCUUCAACUGGUUUUGAUAAGUAUUAUCUCCACCCUGGUCACUCUCUCUUAUAUACUCUGCUAUUGGUCAAGAUCCUUGCUCAGAGCCAUCACCUCAAAGAGCUCUGCCACCUUUCAAGAGUGUGAGGUUAAAGGGAAUCUGAAGAACUAAUGAAAGGAAGAGACGCAACUCAAAAAAGCAAACCCCAUAAAUGAUGAAUGAUGCUGAUCCAUUGAUGGAAAGCAGCAAAAGAACCAGAAAAGGGAAACCUAAGGUACAGAUUCCAUUUUAAAUGUCUGCCCAGUGCUUUUAAAAUAUAUUAAACUAAAUAGGAAAUAUGCCGUUCUUUUACACAGAGAAUUCAGAUUAGACAUGUGGUAACAGUAUCAUGCCUUACUAAGUGUUUGUUAUUUGCUUGCUAAAAAUUAAGAAGCAACUGCAACUAAGGGUAUAUGGUAUGGACUGUGACAGUUUUCUUUGUGAAAAAUAUUCCCUGUAAAGAUUAAAAUCUAUAAGGAAAGAGUUGAGUCCUGG